Molecule: long non-coding RNA, 738 nt
Organism: Melopsittacus undulatus (budgerigar)
Lineage: Eukaryota; Metazoa; Chordata; Aves; Psittaciformes; Psittaculidae
Exons: 2
Source: RefSeq, a predicted model, not a curated record
GGACGUAACGGCGGUAUCAGCGUCGGUACGGCGGCCUCAGCUUCCAGCGGCAGCAGGCGGAAGAGUGACUACUGAGGCAGGGCACGCAGCACAGCGAACGACCGCGCCUCCGCACCGUGCACCCCACUCUCCCCGGCACCGCGCAGGCCCGGCCAGUCACGCGGUGCUUGUUUUCCGGGGGGACCCGCAGUUGAGUGGAGGUCAAGUGUUUCCGUUGUAGAGCUCAUUCUGCUCCAACUCCCUGCCACGGGCACCUUUUUCUAGAAUAGUUUUGUGUCUUAUUUGCUCUCCUCAGUCCUUCAACCUUACAGGCAAGGGUGGAUUUAAGGAAGUAUUGUAAAACCUUAUCCAAGCAGAACAUGCAGACUGACCAGAGGCAGCCAAGUGAAAACAAGAGAAUACUGGCAUCCACAUAAUGGUUGGGGCCUGUCCAAAGAACAGACAGGUGAAAAGGACAAAGCAAGGAAGACUUCUUAUUUCAUCUGAGAAAGACUGCUUACUUCAUCAGGACGACCACCAGAGGGGGGCUGUGCAAGCGCAGAAGAGGCUGAUGUAAUGGACUGAUGAGGCAAUCCCUGAUGCAUAUGUAUUAGUUAAGGUAGCAAUUUAUGUUGAAUAUGCAUUAAUUGCAAAACUUUUGAUGUAUAAAUUGUGAACGCGAUGUGACGGGGUCGAAGCCAGAUUUGGGCAAGUGCCCCUGGUUUCCCAGCGCUGCAAUAAAGCACCUCAUAAAACCAU